CCACUGUGCUCCAGCCUGGGAGACAGAGUGAGACUUUGUCUCCAAAAAGUAAAAUAAUAUAAUAUAAAAUUCCAGGCAAGCAGCUUCAGGAAGUCUAUCAUGGAAUCACAGGUUCUCUCCAGUUGUAAUAAGAAGUCAAGAGGAUAUAGUGGGUUGAAUUGUGUCCCCAAAAAGGUGUGUCCAAGUCCUAAUCCCUAUACCUGUGAAUGUGAUCUUAUUCAGAAAUAAAAUAUUUGCAGAUGUAAUUGAGGAUCUCAUCUUGAGAUCCUUAAUGCAGUGCAAUUAUAGCUGAGUGGGCCCUAAACCCAAUGACUGGUGUCCUUAUAAGAAAAGGGAGAUUUGAGAUAUUGAGACACACAUAGGCGAAGAUCAUGUGAAGACAGAGACAGAGCUUGGAAUGUUGUUGCCACAAGCUAAGGAGUGCCAAGCAUUGCCAGCAGACACCAGAAGCUAGGAGAGAGGGAUGGAAUGGAUUCUCCCUGGGGGUCCCCCAGAAGGAAUCAGCCCUCCUGACACCUUGGUUUUAGCCUUGUGGCAUCUAAAACUGUGAGAAAAUUAACUUCUGUUAUUUAAACCACCAAGUUUGUGGUAAUUGGUUGCAGCAGCCCUAGGAAAUUAAUGUAGAGGGGAACCUGCAAGGGCCCAGCCUGAAAAAGGAACUAGAGACCUAGGUAGGUUACCAGAGCGGAACCCAAGAUACUAGGACCGAGGGCUCCUGGAGAGAGACACUUGCAUAUAAGGCAGAAGCUAAAUUCUAAGGACCUACGUACAAUGACAAAGUCUAAAUACAAAAGACGGUGACAGGACUUGGUAGAAGGUCCAAGCAGAACCCAUUUGUAGCAGAAAAUGGGGCAGGGAUAGGCCUGAAAAUCCACAUCAAGUGUCCUCAUCUAUGGGAAGGAAAAGCUCUAAAUAGACCAGAAACUGAAACAGGGUAGUGGUGUUGUUGUUGUUGUUGUUGUUGUUUUGUUGUUGUUGUUGUUUUAAAAGCAGAGACAAAGUCUCGCUAUAUUGCCCAGGCUGGUCUCAAACUCAUGGGCUCAAGCAAUCCUACCACCUCAGCCUCCCAAAGUGCUGGGAUUACAGGCAUGAGCCACUAUACCCAGCAGGAUUUGGGUUUUAAAAGGUCAAUCAACAACUUCAUCUUUCUUCCCUAAGAUUGGAACCAAUUGAGAAAUAAGAUAUAGGAUGCCAACAGAUGGAGAACAGUUUCUAUUAUUAAAUGUAGCCUCUGUUAAUGCUAAAGCC
RNAcentral lists this long non-coding RNA (1248 nucleotides) under Homo sapiens (human). RNAcentral describes it as "non-protein coding lnc-ETFBKMT-6:1". Lineage: Eukaryota; Metazoa; Chordata; Mammalia; Primates; Hominidae. The record is from RNAcentral.